UCCCUCUUAGCUCAGUGGUAGAGCGCGUCACUAGUAUACGAAUUGAGUAUAUGACGAGGUCAGUCGUUCAAGUCGGCUAGAGGGAA
This 86-nucleotide transfer RNA is filed under the name Pholiota conissans. It matches the Rfam family "tRNA". Rfam says of the family: Transfer RNA (tRNA) molecules are approximately 80 nucleotides in length. Their secondary structure includes four short double-helical elements and three loops (D, anti-codon, and T loops). The record is from Rfam by way of RNAcentral. Lineage: Eukaryota; Fungi; Basidiomycota; Agaricomycetes; Agaricales; Strophariaceae.